Nothoprocta perdicaria is the source of this 522-nucleotide long non-coding RNA. RefSeq lists it as uncharacterized. Lineage: Eukaryota; Metazoa; Chordata; Aves; Tinamiformes; Tinamidae. The record is from RefSeq and is a predicted model, not a curated record. The transcript has 4 exons.
AACUGUAUUGUCCAGUAACUUAAAAAUAGUACACUGGUCUUGCAAAGUAGUUACUUUUUUUCUGUAGCCAUUCAGUCAUUUGAUUGAAAUUUUGUUAUUCGUUUGUUUUUAACUUGCAAGUGUACUCCAGGAGAAGCAAUAUGUCUGAUUAUAAUCCUGACUAUUCUCAGAUCUUUAGAGGCCAAAGCCUGUAGAAUUCUAAUGAUCAUGGGACAGAUCUUAAUUAUUUGAUGGCUUCAGUUUCAGAAGCAGUGUUUCAUUUAGGCGGAAGUUAUCUUCACAUAAAGGGAUUGCGGUGAAUUCUGUAGGACUGAAAGUGCUUUGGAGCACAUGAGCUGUUUGAAUUCAUCCUACCUUCACACAGAAGAAUUUAGGAAUUGGGUUGGUGAGCUCCAUAAUAUCGGAGUGCCCCACAAUUAUUAAGCAGAGAGAAGAUUGUCUGUGAACUCUUUGGACCUACCUACUCAUUGCUCCACAGAAAAUCUCUUCCUGCCUCUUUAGAGGACCAAAAGCAGCAAAUCA